This 295-nucleotide unclassified non-coding RNA is filed under the name uncultured fungus. RNAcentral describes it as "sequence contains ITS1". Lineage: Eukaryota; Fungi. The record is from RNAcentral.
GUAUAAUGUUUUUUAUAGGGCUGUUUUACGGCCCCUUAUAUUUUCAUUCUUUGACAUGCGUGUUUAGAUAUAAGAAGACAUAGAGUCCUCCGGGAGACGUCCAAGGGGCGAGGCCAGAAGGCCUCUUCCCCACAUGACACGGCCCAGGUUACCCCGAGCGUAUCCCCCAGAAAAGCUCUACAAAGGGUGCACAGGUGGAAAGAUAAAGAUGACAGAGGUGCACAUGCUCGAGAGCCAGCUACAUUCCAUCAGGUUUAUUUCUGUAAUGAUCCUUCCGCAGGUUCACCUACGGAAA